RNAcentral lists this ribosomal RNA (207 nucleotides) under Triticum aestivum (bread wheat). RNAcentral's name for it is "partial small subunit ribosomal RNA". Lineage: Eukaryota; Viridiplantae; Streptophyta; Magnoliopsida; Poales; Poaceae. The record is from RNAcentral.
AUGGAGAAUGAAUUGUUGAAGCUUUGGUCAAUGGUUGAAGAGAGCAAGUCUGCUAGGGUGAAUGAUAAUCUUGAAAGUGCUUUAACUAUUCAACAUUUGACAGAAGAAAAGAACAAGCUGGAUGCAGACUAUGACAAGUUAGUGAAAGAUGUGCAUCAACUUGUGGAUAUGCAGGAGGAGAGGGUUGUGGAUUUUAGUUGUCUGUAG